Callithrix jacchus (white-tufted-ear marmoset) is the source of this 820-nucleotide non-coding RNA. The record is from RefSeq and is a predicted model, not a curated record. NCBI's taxonomy places the organism in Eukaryota, Metazoa, Chordata, Mammalia, Primates, Cebidae.
CCGCGGCCCCCUGCGCCUGGGCCCCGGCGGCCUGAGGGUCCAUGCCGGCUGCCCACGGGUCGGCGCCCUGGACGCCGUGGCCCACGUGACGCACCGGCCCGGCUACCGCCCUGAGGAUCCGCCGUAGAGGGGCCAAUCAGAUCCUAAGGCUGGACGACUAGCUGGGAGCGAAACGCCAAGCGUGUCCUACGCGGCCCCUCGGGGUGUGCUCCAGCUUUAAAACCUCUUGUGGGUAAGACACAUCAGCAACCUAGUGACCUCUGCCUUGAGCUAAUGUCGUCUUCGAAGUUAAUCCAUUAGAAACCACGAUAGAUGAUUAAAACACAAACUACAAUGUGCGGUGGACACAGAAUACAGGCCACGACGCUUCUCAUAACCCUAACAUUCGGGGCUCCUGUAUUUUGACGCUCAACGCCUGAUACUCGACAACCUCAUUAUUUUCCUUUUUGCCUCGAAAGGUGGCUUCUGGGGAUAGGCAGGGCCUGAGCUAGGAACAACCCAAAUGGAAAGACAGCCUUCCCUGCCUUUCCCACAGUACCUAACCUCAAACAAAUCAGCUUAAAGUGUGCCCAUUCCAUCAACACAUGAGAGACCCUCUUCCUUCAUCCCCUCAAAGACUAUUGUUUGUACAGUACAAACGGCAUCUGUAAAAAUUUAGCAUAAAACUGACACACAAUGUUCAAUUUUAUGUUUUUUUCUCUAUGCAGAUGUUCCUACACAGGAGUCAGUGUCCCCAAGGCGAACUGCCUCUAGGUCAUUAAUGUCCAGUAGAACCUUCUUUAAUGGUGGAAAUAAAAGUUAUACUAUCUGUGCUGUCCAA